Long non-coding RNA from Dermacentor albipictus, 4605 nucleotides. RefSeq lists it as uncharacterized. The record is from RefSeq and is a predicted model, not a curated record. Lineage: Eukaryota; Metazoa; Arthropoda; Arachnida; Ixodida; Ixodidae.
UCGGCACCCUCAGCUGACGGAAGUGUCGCCUACUGUGAGGUUGCCAAGGAGAAACGUCUCUCAUACAAAACCCCUAAAAAGAAAGUCUCGAACAACAGUGUCAUGUCGGCACGGUCAUUCCAAUUGUUCACAGUGUUUCGAAAGGUCAUUUGGACAGUCCCGGGCCACAAAAGCAGUUGGGAGGAGGAACCGCAUCAUCGGCGGUACCGCAUGUUGGAGAGAAGGAAAAUCAGGGCAUGCACUGUAGGACAUCACAAGGGGCGUGGCUGGGAGCCCACAUGGUUCGUGUGGGAACCCCCCUGGAGUUUCUUUCCCAGUCAGAUCAUGCACCUAGGACUUUUGUUAGGCUCACGAGGGGUCAGUUUGUUGGCAUGCACUGGGAAUCAUUGCUAGGAAAAUGUCAGAGGUCCUGCUGUGUGGCAGUCCACGCUACCAGGAUUCUCGUGUCACUUGUGACCACACCUUGCUUAACCAGUAUUGUGGUAUUUACAAGCAUUACUAUUUUUCUGCCAUGUCCAUGCCUGCUUUUGUCAGCAGCAGGAGAGGCAGAUUCACUGCGCUGACCCUUCUGAAGGUAAAACUGUUGACGAAGCUGUGCUCUUCAGUAUGCACAGCUGCUAUUACAUUGCCACAAAAGUAACCUUGCUCAUAUGUGCAGGAGCCUUAGUUCACGUGCAGUUGUGUUGCUCAGUGACAUACUUUGCUCUUCCAUAUAAGCUGCUGGCUUGUUUGCAGUCAAGUUUUACGCUAAGAUCAACUUACCACUCCAUUUAGCACUUCACAAUGCCUUUUUAUUGUCACACUUAUGUGCAGCACGUUACUGUUACACCUAGAACAAACCAAAAGUAAGCAUUGUUUGCAGUGGUGCCGGUGGCCAAAAAUAGGAAUUCUGCAAUCCUUCACAUUGUUAGCAUGUGUGGACAAGACCGGCAUUAACCAAGAUACGACAGCAUUAUAACGGUGUUGAAGUUUAAGUAGUAGUAUUUGACAAGUAUUCAACUAGUAUUUGACAGUGAGGCAAUAAUACAUAACCUAUAAUACUUCGCGAUAUUCAUCAUGAUCAAAAUCUUUAGAAUAACAUUGUGUGAAUUUUCCACACCUGCUGUGAGAAAUGUUUGCGUAUGGGUUAUGAGUGUCUCUGCAGCACGCUCCAUGCAUUUUCCGCGUCUUGUCGCAUUUUGUGGUCAUUCCAACUCGCUUCAGUGGCUGUACGGCUACAGCAUUUUACUGCUGAACUUGAAGUCCGGGUUCAAUUCCCGGCCACAUUGGUCACAUUCCAAUGGAGGUGGAAUGCAAGAAUGCUCAUAUACUACAAUGUUCAUUACACAUAGCCCCAGCUGGUGGAAGUUAAUUCAAAGGCCCCCACUAGGGCACACAUCAUAGCCAAAUUGCCUUACCAAGUUAAGUCCUGUGGAUUAAUACAGUCAUUCAGUCUUUCACCAUGUAAUAAACUUAAUUCUAUUCUUUUUUUUGUAUUAGUGCUUCAGAAGCAGUAAGGUUGCAAGAGUGACUACAGAGGCCAUUAAUGGUAUGUCAUACUAAAAGUCCACAUAAAUGAACUUUUAGCAUAACACGACACCAUUGGUGCAAACGCAAUCAGUAGUACCACCAACUGGUUACUGUAGUGCAGGUUGUUCCUUUUUCAAAGAAACAGUGCCGUCUGUGACCAGAAGAAUGAGGUAAACUGCUUAACAAGGGUGCGAUCGGAGAUAUUUUGUUCGAUACGCGUUCUGUUCAGUUGCUGCAACGUCACAAAGUUGCAGUAUGCAAAAUUUGUGACAGCGGGGCGGAGAGAGCAGCCAAUCGGGAAGCAGUCACCUCCCCGGAAGUUUACCUCCGUCGUUUGUCGUCUGCUUGCAAACAGUAUACUACAAAGCCAAAUGUUUCUCGUCUUCCAAUUGAAUGAAAUAUUUAUCUAAAUAAAUGUAUUUUUUCUUCUCAAGUCCAAACACGUUUUCAAAUAGUAGUACGUGUGACUACUGCAAUUUAUAACUAUUAGGUUCUUUCCGUCUUCCCUAGGUGGUGUCGCGCACAGCGAGAAGGAAAAAGAAAAAAAAAAGGCGGGAAGAGUGGCGCACUUUUCAAGAGGCAGCGACAACAUCCCAGUGGCUCGCUGGCACCGAUGAUGUUGUCGAUUUCUCUGUACAACCAACGAAUUAUUUGUUCCGAGAAAGAAAAACAACGCCGGAAUUCACUUUCUGUCAUUUCUUCAAACGCGUUUCGCACCGCCACCCGCUCUCCUCCUUCCUCUAGAAACGCCAGCACAACAACCUAAGUUUCCAAUGGAAGCGCCAUUUUCUAGAAUUAAACUAUGGAUCGGAUUCAAACGUGCCAUUCCGCAGCCGAAAAGGCCGCCUGUUGGAUCCAAUCCAAUCCACCAGACGCGCUAUGCGAAGCCGUAUGAUCGCUCUAAACUUCUCAACUCCCGUCGCGUUCGGAUGAAAUGCUCGGUGGGCGGAUGAUUGACAGGAGCGUGUCGUCAUUUUGACAUCACCAAAGAGGGGGCGGCGCCCCGCGGCUGGCGACGUAGGCGCGAAGUAGGCCAAUCGUGCACGCCGGUAACCGAACAAACGCGCCAAACAACCAUCUCCGAUCGCACCCCAAGUGUCAUCCCACUGAUACAAGUUUGUCCUUCUUCUGACAGAUGGCACCACAUUUAUUUACUAUUAGGAAACCAACCAGUCAGAACCAGAAGCACCACCAAGUGCACCUCUUUGCGAAAAUUCGAGUGUGAGCAGACCAGCGGUUUUAUUGGCAGAGCGAUUUACGCAUAUUUCCCUGAGCAAAAGCUAGUGCCAAUUGCUAGAGGGGUUUAUUGCACUUGUACCAGCUCCCUGUUGUGAUUACAUACGAAUGUGAUACAUUAGCAGACACGGUGAAAUUUGUACCCAUUUGCACAGCAAUAGUUAUUCUUUGCACAAGGCUCCACGUAGUUGCUGCGAGGUUGCUUCAAGCGAAGGCAUUGGCAGUAGCCUUGCUAGAAUUGCUGCCACUGUUCUUCCAUAGUUGUAGUACACUGAUGCAACAAAUUUCUCGAACAACAUUUUAACAUCCUUUUGACACUGCACUGCUUGCAAGAAAUGCUAAGAGCACUCCAGUUCUAACCUGAUAUAACUAUUGCAUUUAUUAUUUUGGCUGAGUGCAUGCAAUGAGUCUACCUGCUUGUUAAAUUUCCGUAGGUGCACAGCAGAUGAUCAGUAUUUCUUUCGGCAACUCUUUAGCGGCUAGUGUCAUAGCACAGUAUUCAAAUCCUUGAAUUCUUCAGCCUAAUCAGACUUUCUGGUCUGUAGUCUUUUGACGCAGGAUAGAAUACUAGCCCAGGCUUACCAACUCAUAUUUGACAGUGCAGCCAGUGUCACAAGUGCUGCCAAGCCACGAGUUCUCGCCUGCCUGCUGCGGUGUGUUACAAGCAGUUAGGGGGGUCACAACGGGCACGUCAUGCAAAAUGCUUGAAUGUGAAGAAGGCGACAAACCGAGGGGUUAAUUUUUCUUUACUGACGACCAUAUGAAGCCAACAGAUAAUGAAGCCAAGGAAAGCAUGGGGGAAAUUAAUUGUAGCUUUAAUUGAAGUGUGUAAAGGGAAAUGAAAGUGGACAAAAGAAAAAGAAUUUGCUGCCGGCGGAAGCUGAACCCACAAUUUCAGCCUGUUCACUAGACCCAUUCGCUUCCACAGCUAGCGAUCCACCGGCCGCGAUGGCCAAGGACAAAGUCGAGGGUGACUGGCGAUAUGCCAGCCACUCAAAUCAAAAAGUGACUGUUUCUGGCUAUUCUUCAUAGAUCGCAGCACAUUGGAGGCUUUUUUCUAAUUGUUCUUGGUUUUGCACACCAGAUGGAUUUAUUUGUCUACACUUUGAGCAGGAGUUGUUUGUAAAACAAUGGAGUGCAGUAUGGAAAUGCGAGAAGCAUUCCUAAUUGCGAGUAAGAAAAAAAUAGAUGCUUGAGCAUUUCGUGAUUUGCCUCAACAAAUCGAGAAUUUUAUAGCACACUUUAAGAACCGUUGCACUACUACACGUAAUUCGUCCUCUGGCGAAAGCACCUGUGCAGCAUAAUGGUCAAUUUGAUGCUAGUGACACCAGAAAUUCAGUUGAUAGUUUGCACUUGUCAUGUACUGUAUUUCUUUUGUAUAUUUAGCAAGUUGGGGAGUCAUAGUCAGUGAAAUAAAGUACACUGACUAGCACUUUUUGCUCCAUUGCCGAAGCCUGCAUUGUUUUGCACUUUGCAGCACGGAGCAAGCCAGAACCGUUGAUUGGCAGCCGUUGUAGCUGAUGGCACAGCCCACAUUCCCAGUUUUAAUGGCAUCUCUCAUAUUCAUAAUGCCAUGGUCAGGGGUAGCUUAAGAAAGCUUCUUAUAUUCACUCUCUCUUGGAACACAUCUUUGGAACACUACUACUCCUAAUUGGUAAGCGGGCAUUUUAUGUGCUCAUAUUACGCAUCGCCAACCACAUCACAACUGCUCAACAUUCUUUUCGAAGCAGGGUUUUUAUCGCAUUGACCGAGAGGUGCAGGUUCUUCAUAUCUAACGCCAAAGUGUAACGGGGCCCAUGCUUUUGUUGUGUCUAGCAGCGAACCACUGUGACCAAUAAAAGUUGCUUUUUUCCAUUUCAA